This 512-nucleotide ribosomal RNA is filed under the name uncultured bacterium. RNAcentral describes it as "partial 16S ribosomal RNA". It matches the Rfam family "Bacterial small subunit ribosomal RNA", at positions 28 to 523 of the family's 1533-position model. The record is from RNAcentral.
GACGAACGCUGGCGGCGUGCCUAAUACAUGCAAGUCGAGCGAAUGGAAGGGAGCUUGCUCCCUGAAGUUAGCGGCGGACGGGUGAGUAACACGUGGGCAACCUGCCUGUAAGACUGGGAUAACUUCGGGAAACCGGAGCCAAUACCGGAUACGUUCUUUUCUCGCAUGAGGAAAGAUGGAAAGAUGGUUUCGGCUAUCACUUACAGAUGGGCCCGCGGCGCAUUAGCUAGUUGGUGGGGUAAUGGCCCACCAAGGCGACGAUGCGUAGCCGACCUGGGAGGGUGAUCGGCCACACUGGGACUGAGACACGGCCCAGACUCCUACGGGAGGCGGCAGUAGGGAAUCUUCCGCAAUGGACGAAAGUCUGACGGAGCAACGCCGCGUGAGCGAAGAAGGCCUUCGGGUCGUAAAGCUCUGUUGUCAGGGAAGAACAAGUGCCAGAGUAACUGCUGGCACCUUGACGGUACCUGACCAGAAAGCCACGGCUAACUACGUGCCAGCAGCCGCGGUAA